Molecule: ribosomal RNA, 406 nt
Filed under: Shewanella sp. FS1
Lineage: Bacteria; Pseudomonadati; Pseudomonadota; Gammaproteobacteria; Alteromonadales; Shewanellaceae
Description: bacterial SSU rRNA
Rfam family: Bacterial small subunit ribosomal RNA
Source: RNAcentral
GGGAAUAUUGCACAAUGGGGGAAACCCUGAUGCAGCCAUGCCGCGUGUGUGAAGAAGGCCUUCGGGUUGUAAAGCACUUUCAGUAGGGAGGAAAGGGUGUAACUUAAUACGUUAUAUCUGUGACGUUACCUACAGAAGAAGGACCGGCUAACUCCGUGCCAUCAGCCGCGGUAAUACGGAGGGUCCGAGCGUUAAUCGGAAUUACUGGGCGUAAAGCGUGCGCAAGCGGUUUGUUAAGCGAGAUGUGAAAGCCCUGGGCUCAACCUAUGAAUAGCAUUUCGAACUGGCGAACUAGAGUCUUGUAGAGGGGGGUAGAAUUCCACGUGUAUUGGUGAAAUGCGUAGAGAUCUGGAGGAAUACCGGUGGCGAAGGCGGCCCCCUGGACAAAGACUGACGCUCAUGCACG